AGAGUUUGAUCCUGGCUCAGGACGAACGCUGGCGGCGUGCUUAACACAUGCAAGUCGGACGGUAAGGCCCCUUUCGGGGGGUACACGAGUGGCGAACGGGUGAGUAACACGUGAGGAACGUGCCCUUGACUUCGGUAUAGCUCCAGGAAACUGGUGGUAAUCCCGAAUAUGAGCCUGGCCUGCAUGGGUUGGGUUGGAAAGCUUUAUGCGGUCAGGGAUCGUCUCGCGGCCUAUCAGCUUGUUGGUGGGGUAAUGGCCUACCAAGGCAGCGACGGGUAGCCGGCCUGAGAGGGUGACCGGCCACAUUGGGACUGAGAUACGGCCCAGACUCCUACGGGAGGCAGCAGUGGGGAAUAUUGCACAAUGGGCGCAAGCCUGAUGCAGCAACGCCGCGUGCGGGAUGACGGCCUUCGGGUUGUAAACCGCUUUCAUCCAUGACGAAGCGCAAGUGACGGUAGUGGGAGAAGAAGCUCCGGCUAAAUACGUGCCAGCAGCCGCGGUAAUACGUAUGGUGCAAGCGUUAUCCGGAUUUACUGGGUGUAAAGGGUGCGUAGGUGGUAUGGCAAGUCAGAAGUGAAAGCCCGGGGCUCAACCCCGGUACUGCAUUGGAAACUGUCGUACUAGAGUGUCGGAGGGGUAAGUGGAAUUCCUAGUGUAGCGGUGAAAUGCGUAGAUAUUAGGAGGAACACCAGUGGCGAAGGCGGCUUACUGGACAGUAACUGACGUUGAGGCUCGAAAGCGUGGGGAGCAAACAGGAUUAGAUACCCUGGUAGUCCACGCGGUAAACGAUGAAUGUUAGGUGUGGGGGAGCAAAGUUCUUCGGUGCCGCCGCAAACGCAUUAAGCAUUCCACCUGGGGAGUACGUUCGCAAGAAUGAAACUCAAAGGAAUUGACGGGACCCCGCACAAGCAGUGGAGUAUGUGGUUUAAUUCGACGCAACGCGAAGAACCUUACCAAGUCUUGACAUCCUGCGACGCACAUAGAAAUAUGUGUUUCCUUCGGGACGCAGAGACAGGUGGUGCAUGGUUGUCGUCAGCUCGUGUCGUGAGAUGUUGGGUUAAGUCCCGCAACGAGCGCAACCCUUAUGGUCAGUUACUACGCAAGAGGACUCUGGCCAGACUGCCGUUGACAAAACGGAGGAAGGUGGGGAUGACGUCAAAUCAUCAUGCCCUUUAUGACUUGGGCUACACACGUACUACAAUGGCGUUAAACAAAGAGAAGCAAGACCGCGAGGUGGAGCAAAACUCAGAAACAACGUCCCAGUUCGGACUGCAGGCUGCAACUCGCCUGCACGAAGUCGGAAUUGCUAGUAAUCGCAGAUCAGCAUGCUGCGGUGAAUACGUUCCCGGGCCUUGUACUCACCGCCCGUCA
This 1371-nucleotide ribosomal RNA is filed under the name uncultured bacterium. Its description in RNAcentral is "partial 16S ribosomal RNA". It matches the Rfam family "Bacterial small subunit ribosomal RNA". The record is from RNAcentral.